RNAcentral lists this ribosomal RNA (468 nucleotides) under uncultured bacterium. Its description in RNAcentral is "partial 16S ribosomal RNA". It matches the Rfam family "Bacterial small subunit ribosomal RNA", at positions 28 to 507 of the family's 1533-position model. The record is from RNAcentral.
GACGAACGCUGGCGGCGUGCUUAACACAAGCAAGUCGAACGGAAAGGCCCUGCUUUUGUGGGGUGCUCGAGUGGCGAACGGGUGGGUAACACGUGAGUAACCUGCCCUUGACUUUGGGAUAACUUCAGGAAACUGGGGCUAAUACCGGAUAGGAGCUCCUGCUGCAUGGUGGGGGUUGGAAAGUUUCGGCGGUUGGGGAUGGACUCGCGGCUUAUCAGCUUGUUGGUGGGGUAGUGGCUUACCAAGGCUUUGACGGGUAGCCGGCCUGAGAGGGUGACCGGCCACAUUGGGACUGAGAUACGGCCCAGACUCCUACGGGAGGCAGCAGUGGGGAAUAUUGCACAAUGGGCGGAAGCCUGAUGCAGCAACGCCGCGUGCGGGAUGACGGCCUUCGGGUUGUAAACCGCUUUCGCCUGUGACGAAGCGUGAGUGACGGUAAUGGGUAAAGAAGCACCGGCUAACUACGUG